This 74-nucleotide transfer RNA is filed under the name Triticum turgidum subsp. durum (durum wheat). RNAcentral describes it as "Triticum durum (durum wheat) tRNA". It matches the Rfam family "tRNA". From Rfam's summary of the family: Transfer RNA (tRNA) molecules are approximately 80 nucleotides in length. Their secondary structure includes four short double-helical elements and three loops (D, anti-codon, and T loops). Further hydrogen bonds mediate the characteristic L-shaped molecular structure. tRNAs have two regions of fundamental functional importance: the anti-codon, which is responsible for specific mRNA codon recognition, and the 3' end, to which the tRNAs corresponding amino acid is attached (by aminoacyl-tRNA synthetases). tRNAs cope with the degeneracy of the genetic code in two manners: having more than one tRNA (with a specific anti-codon) for a particular amino acid; and 'wobble' base-pairing, i.e. permitting non-standard base-pairing at the 3rd anti-codon position. Lineage: Eukaryota; Viridiplantae; Streptophyta; Magnoliopsida; Poales; Poaceae. RNAcentral also lists the same sequence under 1 other name. The record is from Rfam by way of RNAcentral.
GGGGAAAUAGCUCAGUUGGUUAGAGUGCUGGUCUGUCACGCCAGAAGUCGGGGGUUCGAACCCCGUUUUCCCCG